RNAcentral lists this ribosomal RNA (507 nucleotides) under uncultured bacterium. RNAcentral describes it as "partial 16S ribosomal RNA". It matches the Rfam family "Bacterial small subunit ribosomal RNA", at positions 28 to 507 of the family's 1533-position model. The record is from RNAcentral.
GACGAACUCUGGCGGUGUGCCUAAUACAUGCAAGUCGAACGCAUUUUCUUUCACCGUAGUUCUCUACACCGAAAGAAAGUGAGUGGCGAACGGCUGAGUAAAACUAGCGUAACCUGUCCAUUAGCUUGGGAUAACACUAGCUAACAGCGGAUAACACCGCAAACUUCCAUUUACCGCAUGGUAGAACGAUGAUAGGCUCUUUUGCGUCUCUAUUGGAUGCACACGCGGUGGUUUAUCUAGUUGGGGCUGUCACGGCCUACCAAGGCUACGAUGCAUAGCCGGCCUGAGGAGGUGGACGGCCAAACUGGGACUGGGACACGGCCCAGACUCCUACGGGAGGCAGCAAUAGGGGAACUUCGGCAAUGGGCGCAAGUCUGACCGGGCAACGCCGCGGGGGGGGAAGAGGGUUUCGGAUCGGAAAACUCUGUUGUUAAAGGAGGACAAAAAGGGGAGUGGACAGUUCAUGCCUUGACGGUAUCUAACCAGAAAGCCACGGCUAACUACGUG